UCAGACGAUGCGUCAUGCAUAUCAAUAAGCGGAGGAAAAGAAACUAACAAGGAUUCCCUUAGUAACGGCGAGUGAAGCGGGAAGAGCUCAAAUUUGAAAUCUUCAAGGUUUUACCUUGACGAAUUGUAGUUUAAAGAAGUGUUUUCUGUUGAAGUUUUGGUAAAAGUUCUUGGAAUAGGACAUCAUAGAGGGUGAGAAUCCCGUAUUUGACCAUUAUUUUCAGCUGUGUGAUACACUUUCAAAGAGUCGGAUUGUUUGGGAAUGCAGUCCAAAAUGGGUGGUAAAUUUCAUCUAAAGCUAAAUAUUGGCGAGAGACCGAUAGCGAACAAGUACCGUGAGGGAAAGAUGAAAAGAACUUUGAAAAGAGAGUUAAACAGUACGUGAAAUUGUCAAAAGGGAAGCGUUUGACACCAGUGUUGUUUUCUCGAAAAUCAAUUAAAAAGAGUUGGAUUUUGUGUUGUAUUGACCUUAACAGCUUGCUUCACUCUUUUCCUGCUUUUUUUAAUGCACUUUUCGUUUAACAAGUCAACAUCAGUUUCUUUUGUUGUAAAAGGGUCAUUGGAAGGUGGCCUUCCCUUCGGAGAAAGUGUUUAUAGCCUUUGAUCUCUGCAAUCGGAGAGACUGAGGUCUGCAGCGUAGAUCCUUCGGGGUUAGAUACAUUUGUGCUAAGCUACAGCUUUUCAUAGACAACUUGUUGACUAUGUUUAGUCUUGUAACUUACCCGCUUAUGCUAUUUUACCUACGCUUAGGAUGUUGAUAUGCAUGACUGAUAU
Molecule: ribosomal RNA, 773 nt
Filed under: uncultured Neocallimastigales
Lineage: Eukaryota; Fungi; Neocallimastigomycota; Neocallimastigomycetes; Neocallimastigales
Description: partial large subunit ribosomal RNA
Rfam family: Eukaryotic large subunit ribosomal RNA
Source: RNAcentral